This 460-nucleotide ribosomal RNA is filed under the name uncultured bacterium. RNAcentral describes it as "partial 16S ribosomal RNA". It matches the Rfam family "Bacterial small subunit ribosomal RNA", at positions 338 to 795 of the family's 1533-position model. The record is from RNAcentral.
GCUACGGGAGGCAGCAGUGAGGAAUAUUGGUCAAUGGACGCAAGUCUGAACCAGCCAUGCCGCGUGCAGGAAGACGGCUCUAUGAGUUGUAAACUGCUUUUGUACGAGGGUAAACGCAGAUACGCGUAUCUUUCUGAACGUAUCUUACGAAUAAGGAUCGGCUCACUCCGUGCCAGCAGCCGCGGUAGUACGGAGGAUUCAAGCGUUAUCCGGAUUUAGUGGGUUUAAAGGGUGCGUAGGCGGUCGGAUAAGUUAGAGGUGAAAUCCCGAGGCUCAACUUCGGAAUUGCCUGUGAUACUGUUCGGCUAGAGAGUAGUUGCGGUAGGCGGAAUGUAUGGUGUAGCGGUGAAAUGCUUAGAGAUCAUACAGAACACCGAGUGCGAAGGCAGCUUACCAAGCUACUUCUGACGUUGAGGCACGAAAGCGUGGGGAGCAAACAGGAUUAGAUACCCCUGUAGUC